UAAGAAUUAGUUAAAAUAUAAUAUAAACUUGUCAUGUUUAAGUUGGAGUUCAUUCUUAA
This 59-nucleotide transfer RNA is filed under the name Proasellus granadensis. RNAcentral's name for it is "transfert RNA-D(GAC)". Lineage: Eukaryota; Metazoa; Arthropoda; Malacostraca; Isopoda; Asellidae. The record is from RNAcentral.